RNAcentral lists this transfer RNA (72 nucleotides) under Haloarcula vallismortis. RNAcentral's name for it is "tRNA_Gly_TCC". It matches the Rfam family "tRNA". Rfam says of the family: Transfer RNA (tRNA) molecules are approximately 80 nucleotides in length. Their secondary structure includes four short double-helical elements and three loops (D, anti-codon, and T loops). Further hydrogen bonds mediate the characteristic L-shaped molecular structure. tRNAs have two regions of fundamental functional importance: the anti-codon, which is responsible for specific mRNA codon recognition, and the 3' end, to which the tRNAs corresponding amino acid is attached (by aminoacyl-tRNA synthetases). tRNAs cope with the degeneracy of the genetic code in two manners: having more than one tRNA (with a specific anti-codon) for a particular amino acid; and 'wobble' base-pairing, i.e. permitting non-standard base-pairing at the 3rd anti-codon position. The record is from RNAcentral. RNAcentral also lists the same sequence under 1 other name. Lineage: Archaea; Methanobacteriati; Methanobacteriota; Halobacteria; Halobacteriales; Haloarculaceae.
GCGGGAGUGGUGUUAACGGCAACACGAAUCCCUUCCAAGGAUUAGCUGUGGGUUCGAUUCCCACCUCCUGCA